GCCGCCUCCUCCUCUCCCUCCCUCCCGCAGCCGCCUGCCUCCCUCCCUCCCGCACGCCUCCUUUCCUCCCUCCCGCACGCCUCCUCUCCUCCCACCCACAUCGCCGCCGCCGCCACCCACCUCCUUGAACUGCACCGUCGGCGGCCAGAUCCACCGCAACAAACCCCCCUUCCCUCCCCCCCAACGAUGAUGAGCAACAGCAGAGGGAGGAUGAGGAGCACGACGACGGCGGCGGCGGAGAGCAGCAGCAAUAGGCGGCACAGCAGCAGGCCUUGGGCAAGAUUCCUCCGACCCCCGUCCUGCGUCACCUCUCCUCCGACCACGCCGCCGUGCUGCACGACGGCAAGUGGGCGCCCGCCCUCCCCGUCCUGCGAUGGCCGAGAUCCAGUUCGUCGCCCUUGUCCUUGCCUUACCUCACGUCUCCCCCGCCACCACCCACUGGCAGGAGGCCCCCGCCACUCCUCUUGCGCCUCCACCACGUCGUCGUCACUGGGAGGAGGUGCUCAUUGCCUCCGGGAAGCACCACGGCCACUGGAUCCGUUGCUACGUUCGUCGAUCUGUAUGUGAUUGUUUGUUUUGGACCGUCUCAGUUCUGGUUAACUGGAGCUCAUCCAUGGUUGUACCUUUUCCCCUUUUUUCCAUUGCAGUUUGGUCCGCUAUCUACAGGUUCUCGUUGUUCUGGUCAGUUCUUCAUGUUCUGUCUUCGGCCAGCCCUUUGCAGGCUGACUCCUUCGCUCCCUCUCUUCUCUGCUUUCCAGGCCCAUGCUUGCAUUUUUGCGGCCAUGUAUACAUUCGAUGUUAGAUUUUGUCUAUAAAAUGGUUGUAUUUGUUUUUUGUUCUGUUAUUGGUAGAAGCCUAGCAUCUAAAAUUAUUAUUCCCUGCUUGUUUUUUGUGCUUGCUUGGCAUUUGGAAUUGGGGAUUUUUGUCACUUCUCUAGAUCCUGGUAGGACCUAGGAUUUUUUGUACCUUUCUGCUGUAUCCUAGAAGUAGCCUAUUGAUUUGUUUGUUGGAACUGCUCAUAUGUGUGCGUUGUUGGGGCUACCAAACAAACCGAUAUUGUUCUAGAAAUGAUCUAUAAAAAUUGUUCAUUGGUUAGCUGAAGUAGUAUGCUGUCAGGAAGACAUUCACUGGGCUGGUCCAUUUAGGCUGGCAAGCUUGGUUUGCGUCCAUCCUGUCUGCUUCUUUUGGGUGUCAUCUAGGUUUAUUUACUCUUUUAGGUUCCUACUUUAGUGAUCAUGGAUCCUUAGGUUUGUUUGAUUUAAUGGAAUUGGGACCUACAUGUUUUUUUCCUAUUUGAAUGAAUGUAGGUUAUGUUUUUCUUAAGCAUUGAACCUCCUUGCAAAGAAUGUGUGGAAAUGUGGUUUUGCUCUCUGAGAUGGUUGUGCUCAAAUUUAUGGUUCUUGAUUAAUGUUUUUUUUACUUUCUGCUAGUUUGUUUCUUUCGGUUUGGUGGUGGCCUUGGAAUCCUGUUGACUCUUGGAAACUGCUGGACCCUAUUGUUAUUCUUUGGUUCAUAAGCAUCAGUCUAGAUUGAUCUCCCACCCCGCGGCAAUAGGAUAUUGGCAACUCACUUGGAAAUUCAUUGAGAAUUUACUCUGUUCAGAAGCAAAAUCAUAUUCCGCUGCUCCAUCCACUCCGUCCAGGAACAUCAUGGCAGAUCUGUGGACGGCAUCACCACAACCAUAGAUGGUCUAAUCUCGAGGUGAAAAUACUCUCUUUGUCUCUCAAUUAUGUUAACUAAAUAGUUACUUGAUUUGAUGUUGGUUAGGAUUUGUGUGGAGUAAGCAACUAUUCUGUUUGACCACUGCCAGCUACUUCUAAUUUUUGUUAGUCCCAUUCUGCAACUACAACUUGCACAAUAAGAACAUUCAGAUAAUGUUGCAUGUUCUGUCAUUGAUUGGCCAACUCAUUAUCUUCUUCUUUUGACCAUUUUGGAGAGGAAACCAAAAGAGGAGAAGAAGGCAGCUGAAGAGCAUGCUGCCGAAGUGAAGGGUUCUGGCAAGAAGAAAGAAAGAAUGUUAUCCUACAUUCUUUGUAUUUUACUCACAUUUAUAACUUUGCACUAAACUUUAUUGUGAAGCAUGUUUGUUUGUAAUAUUGUCUUUAGCAAUAGAAGAUUUUUAUAGCUUCAAUCUGCUAUGUGGAAGAAUAUUGGCAUUACUAAUUUCUCAAAAAUAAAAACACUUGCUUUUGCAGCACCGUCAUGUUGAUCAGUGAGAGGUGAACCAAUGAAUUCAUAAACAGAAAUGUUUUGUGUUGCUCUUUCAGUUCUGUCUGUUGUGUUUUCAUGUCCAUGCUUGCACAACAGCGGUUCUUCUCCAAGAUGUGCUCUUUAGUAUGGCGUCAGAACAACUAAAUUUUCAGUCAAGAACUAUUUUCUUUUUUUUUCUACUUGCUCACUAAACAAUGCAUUGACGUCCUGUUUCUUUCCCAAUUCCGUCCACUCAUUGCUGAUACAUGGAUUAUUUUGUGCGUUGUAUGCUUUGUACAAGUUUGGCAAUGUCCUUUGUUAUUUAAGAGUUCCAUUCUGCUUUGUUACCGUAGUAACCAUUUGUGACUUGGAUACAAAAUAUUUGGCAUGGGUGGUUGAAUUUAUAAGGACAUGCUAUCUUACUUGCCAUUAUGCAGCCUAUACCAUGCUUGUGUCAUGGCAGUAUUAACCCCUCCAACAUUUGGUAAACGGAAUCAGUUCUAAUAUAAGGAGUUACUUUGAAAAUGUAACAUAUGGAUAUGAAAGGGCUAGUAUAUUUUGUACUGAUUUACAUCAUGUGAUUCAAUACUUUAUCAGGUUUCCACAUUAUUUCUUCAUUUCUUAUUUUUGGUGUGGUGUGCUGCCCCGAUGUGAGUCGACAUGAAGAACCGCAACAUAGUGAAGGAUGAACCAUGGUCUGAUCAGAACUUCUAGAAGAUUGGAAGAAGCGACCAAACCGCAACAUGUAUUGAAAUAUGACUAUGUGUACCAUUAAUUUCAGAGAUUACCGUACGCAAAGACUGAAGGUUCAGUCUUCUUUUCUUUCUUAGAAGCCUAAAAUUCAGAUAUUACCAUACUCAUUAAUUUCUUUACCAAACUGUGAUGUCUUGGUUCCGUACAUAUGUAUCUCACUUAUUCUUGAGCAGAAUAGUGUGUUAUAAUCUGUUUGAUAGAUA
Triticum aestivum (bread wheat) is the source of this 3146-nucleotide RNA transcript. RefSeq lists it as uncharacterized. The record is from RefSeq and is a predicted model, not a curated record. The transcript has 3 exons. Lineage: Eukaryota; Viridiplantae; Streptophyta; Magnoliopsida; Poales; Poaceae.